GUCCAGCAGUUAAUGACCUUCCCUGCCCUUGUCUAUAGCACCGGGGAGCCCCUUUGUGAGGCCAAAGGGGCAACUCAGGAAGUCACACCGGCUGCCUUUGAGCGAGUCCCCUGAGCUGUCUCUGAGUUUGUUCCACCUAGCCACCACUGGAGUUUUCAGGGCAUAUCCUCCAGCUUUGUAAAUAGCUGUUAAAAAAAAUAAAAAUAAAUCCAGUAUUUUGUCAACCUUUACAAAAACUGAGCUUACAAAAUGCCUCUCACAGAGAGGUCUCAGAAAAUUGUACAAUAAACAAUAUAUUGAAAAAAUAGUCGACGGCCCGGAGAGUUUGAAGGCAAGAGAACGUGUUUUUGUUUCUGUAAAGAGAAAUGCUAACAUGAGGGCCCGGCAGCCGGUGCGUGGGGACCUCAGAGGAAACCCCGUGGGCAUAGCCACCUGGCCACAGUGGGCAGGAGGUGCCACUUCUGCCCUGGAAGCUGGCGCCAUUCGAGCAUCAGGAAACCCUGAUACGGAAGCAAAGAGGGAACUGAGAGGAACUUCUGGGAAGGAGAGGAAAGCGCUGGAAUUGAAAGGCUGGGUUUUGGGCUCUUUUUAUUCUGAUGAUUUCGUCCUGAUUCAAUUUAAAGCUGGUUAGAGCUCAAACACGGGAGCGUAAUUGACAAAGAUCAGUGUGGGCUGCAAUGUUAAUGUCUUGUCUGUGGCUUCCGAGACGCGGAACUCGACACGCAGGUUAAGCAGUGAUUCCAGCAGAGGACACCUGGGCCUGCACAGCCGCUCUGGCUGCGGGCAAGGUUGGGGGCUCCAAAGUGGAGUCCAGGUGGCACAUGGGGGAAUAGGAGGACUGGGGACACGACUGACCCUCAGCGCAGAAAGGCUCAGGAACUCUUCAGGAGCACCCGCUAGCCUCUGCUUGCACAGGCGACGCACGGAAAUCAAGGACGCCCAGCUGCCUGCACCUUGACUGACGCCGCCCUGACUCCAGCCUCCCGGCCUCAGCUCUGGGUCUUCUUAUGGGGACAGCAAGUGAAUAACCUGGAGCAAGUUCCAGACACAGCCCGCCUUUGGGAGCAGUGGCUCAGGCCACUCUGUGUGAUGCUCGGUGCAGAGUGUGCUCUGCCCUGGGACAGAGGAGGGCAGAGGGAGCACCGGGCGUCUCGAGGAGGUGGCCAGAUGCCGCUCACGGCUAAGAAGUGGGAUGACCCUGCACACCAAACGGGUCGGAAGCUGGAUGCCACACGCCUUAGAGGGGGCGCCGUCCUCCCUCCGUGGAGCACCCGGUCCUCUGUUAAUUGGUCUCCUGGAGUUUGCUGACUGCCUUCCACACACUUGUCACUGCCAGGCUGGGCCACGGAAUCUAGGAGCUUACGAGCAGGGCAAGUGUGAUGUGACAUCCCAACUCUCAGCGAGGAGCCAAGUCAAAGGAUGUCCUCUUGGAGCGUGAGGAGUGACGUUCAACACACGUACAUGUGCGCACGUGUGCAAUCACUGGGAGAAAAAAAUGUUAUCAGGGAUAUGGCGGGUUCUCCUUGGGAAUGAGUUGAGCAGAUGAGUGUGGAGGAGAUUCGCGAGGUUGUCCAUUUCUUUCCCCUCCCCUGUGAUGAGGGCAGAUAAAACCCAGGACGCCCAGUUAAUUUUAAUUUCAGAUGAACACCAAAUAAUUUUUUGUGUACGUAUGUGCCAGAUAUCACGUGGGACAUGCUUGCAUUAAAAAAAAACCAAACCUGUGUGUAUCUGCAAUUCAGACUUAGCUGGGCAUCCUGUGUUUUGUUUGUUAAGUCAGGGAGCCCUACCUGUAACAGCACGGGUGGUGGAAGGCUUUAUUUCGACGUCAUUUCCUUAGUCAUUUAAAAAAUUUAGGCGCAUGAAUUAUAAAAGUCAUUACUGAUUCAUUGUAUUAGUUCUUAUAAGAUGGAAGUGUCUGAAGUGAAA
Hipposideros armiger (great roundleaf bat) is the source of this 1926-nucleotide long non-coding RNA. RefSeq lists it as uncharacterized. The transcript has 2 exons. NCBI's taxonomy places the organism in Eukaryota, Metazoa, Chordata, Mammalia, Chiroptera, Hipposideridae. The record is from RefSeq and is a predicted model, not a curated record.